GCAGUGGUAGUUCAGUGGUAGAAUACUCACCUUUCAUGAGGAAGACCCAGGUUCAAUUCCUGGCCAAUGUA
Molecule: transfer RNA, 71 nt
Filed under: Loxodonta africana (African savanna elephant)
Lineage: Eukaryota; Metazoa; Chordata; Mammalia; Proboscidea; Elephantidae
Rfam family: tRNA
About the family: Transfer RNA (tRNA) molecules are approximately 80 nucleotides in length. Their secondary structure includes four short double-helical elements and three loops (D, anti-codon, and T loops).
Source: Rfam by way of RNAcentral